UACAGAGGGUGCAAGCGUUAUUCGGAAUUACUGGGCGUAAAGGGCGCGUAGGCGGCCUCGAAAGUCUGAUGUGAAAGCCCUGGACCCAAUCCAGGAAGUGCAUCGGAAACUGCGGGGCUCGAGUGCAGGAGAGGAGGACGGAAUUCCUGGUGUAGAGGUGAAAUUCGUAGAUAUCAGGAGGAACAACAGUGGCGAAGGCGGUUCUCUGGACUGUAACUGACGCUGAGGCGCGAAAGCGUGGGGAGCAAACAGG
RNAcentral lists this ribosomal RNA (253 nucleotides) under uncultured bacterium. RNAcentral describes it as "partial 16S ribosomal RNA". It matches the Rfam family "Bacterial small subunit ribosomal RNA", at positions 524 to 776 of the family's 1533-position model. The record is from RNAcentral.